ACAGCACUUGAAGUUCCUUCGCAGUUAGGGUUGUGCAAACACCAAAACUAGGGGAGAAGCAGCAAUUUAAACAAUCAUGGGUGACAACAAGAAGCAGAAGAAGGCUUUCCCUGUUCUUAAGUUAUUCAAGCCUCGGAAACCUUGCAGAGAAGAAGAUGGUUCUAGCCAUGGUAUGCGGUCUGGGAAGGUGCGGCCUAGCGAUGAAGAUGACAGUCCAUGGCCUGCUGAUCCUCGCAUAAAUGAUAAAGCUUCGGCUUUUAUUGACCGUAUCAAGGCAACCCACUUC
RNAcentral lists this unclassified non-coding RNA (286 nucleotides) under Hevea brasiliensis (rubber tree). The record is from RNAcentral. Lineage: Eukaryota; Viridiplantae; Streptophyta; Magnoliopsida; Malpighiales; Euphorbiaceae.